This 491-nucleotide ribosomal RNA is filed under the name uncultured bacterium. RNAcentral's name for it is "bacterial SSU rRNA". It matches the Rfam family "Bacterial small subunit ribosomal RNA", at positions 26 to 507 of the family's 1533-position model. The record is from RNAcentral.
CGAGGACGAACGCUGGCGGCGUGCCUAACACAUGCAAGUCGAACGAGAAUCAUUUGGACAGAGGCUUCGGCCGACGGGAAGAUGAGGAAAGUGGCGAACGGGUGAGUAACGCGUGAGGAACCUGCCUUCCAGUGGGGACAACAGUUGGAAACGACUGCUAAUACCGCAUAACAUAUUUGAGGGGCAUCCCUUAAAUAUCAAAGCUUUAUGUGCUGGAAGAUGGCCUCGCGUCUGAUUAGCUAGUUGGUGGGGUAACGGCUCACCAAGGCGACGAUCAGUAGCCGGUCUGAGAGGAUGAACGGCCACAUUGGGACUGAGAUACGGCCCAGACUCCGUACGGGAGGCAGCAGGUGGGGAAUAGUUGGGCAAGUGGGGGAAACCCUGACCCAGCAACGCCGCGUGAAGGAAGAAGGCCUUCGGGUUGUAAACUUCUUUUAGUAGGGACGAAGAACGUGACGGUACCUACAGAAAAAGCAACGGCUAACUACGUG